RNAcentral lists this ribosomal RNA (560 nucleotides) under Streptomyces sp. MSWC4. RNAcentral's name for it is "bacterial SSU rRNA". It matches the Rfam family "Bacterial small subunit ribosomal RNA", at positions 143 to 716 of the family's 1533-position model. The record is from RNAcentral. Lineage: Bacteria; Bacillati; Actinomycetota; Actinomycetes; Kitasatosporales; Streptomycetaceae.
ACAAGCCCUGGAAACGGGGUCUAAUACCGGAUACUGAUCCGCUUGGGCAUCCAAGUGGUUCGAAAGCUCCGGCGGUGCAGGAUGAGCCCGCGGCCUAUCAGCUUGUUGGUGAGGUAAUGGCUCACCAAGGCGACGACGGGUAGCCGGCCUGAGAGGGCGACCGGCCACACUGGGACUGAGACACGGCCCAGACUCCUACGGGAGGCAGCAGUGGGGAAUAUUGCACAAUGGGCGAAAGCCUGAUGCAGCGACGCCGCGUGAGGGAUGACGGCCUUCGGGUUGUAAACCUCUUUCAGCAGGGAAGAAGCGAAAGUGACGGUACCUGCAGAAGAAGCGCCGGCUAACUACGUGCCAGCAGCCGCGGUAAUACGUAGGGCGCAAGCGUUGUCCGGAAUUAUUGGGCGUAAAGAGCUCGUAGGCGGCUUGUCACGUCGGUUGUGAAAGCCCGGGGCUUAACCCCGGGUCUGCAGUCGAUACGGGCAGGCUAGAGUUCGGUAGGGGAGAUCGGAAUUCCUGGUGUAGCGGUGAAAUGCGCAGAUAUCAGGAGGAACACCGGUGGC